This 448-nucleotide ribosomal RNA is filed under the name uncultured microorganism. RNAcentral describes it as "bacterial SSU rRNA". It matches the Rfam family "Bacterial small subunit ribosomal RNA", at positions 9 to 457 of the family's 1533-position model. The record is from RNAcentral.
GAGUUUGAUCCUGGCUCAGGACGAACGCUGGCGGCGUGCUUAACACAUGCAAGUCGAACGGUGACCUCGGAGCUUGCUCCGGGUGAUCAGUGGCGAACGGGUGAGUAACACGUGAGCAACCUGCCCCCGACUCUGGGGAUAACCCCGGGAAAUCGGAGCUAAUACCGGAUACGAGACGCACAGGCAUCUGUUGCGUCUGGAAAGAAUUUCGGUCGGGGAUGGGCUCGCGGCCUAUCAGCUAGUUGGUGGGGUAGUGGCCUACCAAGGCGACGACGGGUAGCCGGCCUGAGAGGGCGACCGGCCACACUGGGACUGAGACACGGCCCAGACUCCUACGGGAGGCAGCAGUGGGGAAUAUUGCACAAUGGGCGCAAGCCUGAUGCAGCGACGCCGCGUGAGGGAUGACGGCCUCGGUUGUAACUACUUCUGCAGGAGAAGACGAAGUAGA